AGCCAAUACCUGCAUAAGGAAACAGGAGGUUUAUAGAUUAGAUUAGUAUCUUGGGUUAGAAUUCGUAUUAUAUCCCUGGAAUUGGUCUAUAUCUCCAAAGGCUUGAGGUGAAAUUAGUCGGCCAACUCUGCUCCUUUAAGUAAGGAAAUAAUUUCCAUAUGGGUAGAGGUAAUUCCCAUCAAUUUGUAAUGGAAAUCAACUUUCGAGUUUCCCAGGUCGUCCCGAAUUGCCCCUCCGAUGCCUCCUAUGCGGUUUAAGGAGUCGAAGGAUCCGUCAAUAUUGAGUUUGAAAGUAUCUUUCAGAGGAGGUUCCACUUGACCUGGCUGGAUUAUAGUGGUUGGAGGAGGAGUGGAGGUGAAUUCGAUGGUGCAAGCUAUGUUUUAAGAGUUCUAAGGAUACCUUGGAGUUGAAAAGAAGAGGAAGAAAGUAAAAGAAGAAAAAGGUAGUCAAGUUUGCACUGAGCAUUGCGCAUCAAGUUUGAAGCAUAGUAAACUGACUUUCAGCUCUCCUAAAAUAGCAGCCGCUACCUUUUAAAUGCUCAUCAAGUUGGCGACACAAAAAGGACAUUCAUAAUAUUACCGAAUUGACUCAACAAAGGUCUAGAGUAUCUUCCAAAUUCACAGUUGCCUGAAAAAAGGAAUCAAUUGCACAAAUCGAUUCAACGAGCCCUCUCCUCUCCAAAAGCCCUAAUUGAGAAAUCAACCAAGAAUCAAGUAUUGUUCCUCAACCAAGCAUAUUAUUCACUUAAGUCUUUCUUUGGAGUGAACAAACAACAUUUCUUCUUGGUUAAAUACAAUCUUAAGGGACAACAUCUGCUUCAAGUAAGGAGCAAGAGAUAAUCCAGACAUUGUAUUAUGUUAAAGGACUCAAAUAAAGGAGUGACCGCUUUCUAGUCGUAGUUGGUACUGCCCCUGUUCACCUGAACAUGCAAGGAACACAUUCAAGAAGAAUCAAAGUUUUUCUCCUCUGCAAAGCUAUCAAUGCUUUAUUCAAGAUCUUUAGCAGUCGAUUGUUCAUUCUCCCUCCCAGUGGCUUUCUAAAGCUCAACAUGAAAGAAUAAAGAAAAUAGGAAAAAAGAGUACAGGGAUCCUACUUCUACCCUCUUUUAUGUUACUCUAUUGAUUGC
Molecule: long non-coding RNA, 1126 nt
Organism: Solanum stenotomum
Lineage: Eukaryota; Viridiplantae; Streptophyta; Magnoliopsida; Solanales; Solanaceae
Exons: 6
Source: RefSeq, a predicted model, not a curated record